CGGAGCUUGCUCCACCGGAAAAAGAGGAGUGGCGAACGGGUGAGUAACACGUGGGUAACCUGCCCAUCAGAAGGGGAUAACACUUGGAAACAGGUGCUAAUACCGUAUAACAAUCAAAACCGCAUGGUUUUGAUUUGAAAGGCGCUUUCGGGUGUCGCUGAUGGAUGGACCCGCGGUGCAUUAGCUAGUUGGUGAGGUAACGGCUCACCAAGGCCACGAUGCAUAGCCGACCUGAGAGGGUGAUCGGCCACAUUGGGACUGAGACACGGCCCAAACUCCUACGGGAGGCAGCAGUAGGGAAUCUUCGGCAAUGGACGAAAGUCUGACCGAGCAACGCCGCGUGAGUGAAGAAGGUUUUCGGAUCGUAAAACUCUGUUGUUAGAGAAGAACAAGGAUGAGAGUAACUGUUCAUCCCUUGACGGUAUCUAACCAGAAAGCCACGGCUAACUACGUGCCAGCAGCCGCGGUAAUACGUAGGUGGCAAGCGUUGUCCGGAUUUAUUGGGCGUAAAGCGAGCGCAGGCGGUUUCUUAAGUCUGAUGUGAAAGCCCCCGGCUCAACCGGGGAGGGUCAUUGGAAACUGGGAGACUUGAGUGCAGAAGAGGAGAGUGGAAUUCCAUGUGUAGCGGUGAAAUGCGUAGAUAUAUGGAGGAACACCAGUGGCGAAGGCGGCUCUCUGGUCUGUAACUGACGCUGAGGCUCGAAAGCGUGGGGAGCAAACAGGAUUAGAUACCCUGGUAGUCCACGCCGUAAACGAUGAGUGCUAAGUGUUGGAGGGUUUCCGCCCUUCAGUGCUGCAGCUAACGCAUUAAGCACUCCGCCUGGGGAGUACGACCGC
Molecule: ribosomal RNA, 837 nt
Filed under: Enterococcus sp. C09_67
Lineage: Bacteria; Bacillati; Bacillota; Bacilli; Lactobacillales; Enterococcaceae
Description: bacterial SSU rRNA
Rfam family: Bacterial small subunit ribosomal RNA
Source: RNAcentral